This 102-nucleotide microRNA precursor is filed under the name Marmota monax (woodchuck). The record is from RNAcentral. Lineage: Eukaryota; Metazoa; Chordata; Mammalia; Rodentia; Sciuridae.
AGUGGAAUAGCUGGGUCAUAUGGUGGCCCAUUCCUGAUUUUUUGAGGAAUCUGCAUACUGCUUUCCAAAGUGGUUGUUCUGUUUUACAGUUCCACAAAUAAU